AAAAAGACGGUAAGGCCCUUCGGGGUACACGAGUGGCGAACGGGUGAGUAACACGUGGGUGAUCUGCCCUGCACUUCGGGAUAAGCCCGGGAAACUGGGUCUAAUACCGGAUAGUACUGCGCGGUGCAUGCCGUGUGGUGGAAAGAUUUAUCGGUGCAGGAUGGGCCCGCGGCCUAUCAGCUUGUUGGUGGGGUAAUGGCCUACCAAGGCGACGACGGGUAGCCGGCCUGAGAGGGCGACCGGCCACACUGGGACUGAGACACGGCCCAGACUCCUACGGGAGGCAGCAGUGGGGAAUAUUGCACAAUGGGCGCAAGCCUGAUGCAGCGACGCCGCGUGAGGGAUGACGGCCUUCGGGUUGUAAACCUCUUUCAGCAGGGACGAAGCGCAAGUGACGGUACCUGCAGAAGAAGCACCGGCCAACUACGUGCCAGCAGCCGCGGUAAUACGUAGGGUGCAAGCGUUGUCCGGAAUUACUGGGCGUAAAGAGCUCGUAGGCGGUUUGUCGCGUCGUCUGUGAAAACCAGCAGCUCAACUGUUGGCUUGCAGGCGAUACGGGCAGACUUGAGUAUUUCAGGGGAGACUGGAAUUCCUGGUGUAGCGGUGAAAUGCGCAGAUAUCAGGAGGAACACCGGUGGCGAAGGCGGGUCUCUGGGAAAUAACUGACGCUGAGGAGCGAAAGCGUGGGUAGCGAACAGGAUUAGAUACCCUGGUAGUCCACGCCGUAAACGGUGGGCGCUAGGUGUGGGUUUCCUUCCACGGGAUCCGUGCCGUAGCUAACGCAUUAAGCGCCCCGCCUGGGGAGUACGGCCGCAAGGCU
Molecule: ribosomal RNA, 820 nt
Filed under: Rhodococcoides corynebacterioides
Lineage: Bacteria; Bacillati; Actinomycetota; Actinomycetes; Mycobacteriales; Nocardiaceae
Description: bacterial SSU rRNA
Rfam family: Bacterial small subunit ribosomal RNA
Source: RNAcentral